Molecule: ribosomal RNA, 2304 nt
Filed under: Triticum aestivum (bread wheat)
Lineage: Eukaryota; Viridiplantae; Streptophyta; Magnoliopsida; Poales; Poaceae
Description: partial small subunit ribosomal RNA
Source: RNAcentral
AUGGGUUCUCUCAACGAAAUCGCCGUUGCUGCGGGGAUAAACAUAUCAUCAGCAUUGGGUUUUCUUCUAGCGUUUGCAAUUCUGCGGAUACAACCUAUUAAUGAUCGGGUAUACUUUCCAAAAUGGUACCUCAAAGGGACAAGGAGCAGCCCGAGGCACCUCGGGGCUGGCUUCUCCAAAUUCGUGAAUGCCGAUCUGUCGACGUAUCUGCGGUUUCUGAAUUGGAUGCCCGCAGCGCUACAAAUGCCAGAACCAGAGCUAAUUGAGCAUGCAGGACUAGACGCCGCAGUAUAUGUCCGCAUCUACCUUCUUGGUUUAAAAAUAUUUGUGCCAAUUGCUUUGCUGGCAUUCAUUGUCCUAGUACCUGUUAAUUGGAGUAGUGGAACUUUGGAACAUGAAAAGGAUCUGAAUUAUGAUGAAAUUGACAAGCUCUCGAUAUCGAAUCUGGGAAAAGGUUCAAAACGGUUUUGGAUACAUAUAGCAAUGGCCUAUGUGUUUACCUUUUGGACAUUUUACGUGUUGUUUCAUGAAUAUAAGGUUAUAACAACUAUGAGAUUGCGCUUUCUUGCUAAUCAGAGUCGUCGGCCUGAUCAAUUCACGGUACUUGUGAGAAAUGUACCACCGGACCCAGAUGAAACAGUUAGUGAACAUGUUGAGCACUUCUUUGCUGUGAAUCAUCGAGAUCAUUACCUCAGUCAUCAGAUUGUAUACAAUGCAAACGCCCUUGUCGGUUUGGUUGAGAAGAAGAAAGGCUUGAAGAACUGGCUGGUCUACUACGAAAAUCAGCAUGCUCAUAAUCCUGCAAAGAAGCCAACUAUGAAGACAGGACUGUGGGGUCUUUGGGGGCGAAAGGUGGAUGCUAUAGAAUACUAUAAGGCAGAAAUUGCGGAGCUAUGUAAACAGGAAGACGUGGAGAGACAAAAGGUGAUGAGUGACCCUAAUGCUAUUAUGCCGGCGGCAUUUGUUUCUUUCAAAAGUCAGUGGGGGGCUGCUGUUUGUGCUCAAACACAGCAGACAAGUAAUCCGACAGUGUGGCUAACCGAGUGGGCUCCGGAACCUCGUGAUGUUUACUGGCCUAAUCUCGCAAUCCCUUUUGUUGAGCUCUCGGUUAGGAGGCUUAUCAUUGCCGUUGCGCUGUUCUUCCUCACUUUUUUCUUCAUGAUACCAAUUGCAUUUGUCCAAUCCUUGGCAAAUCUAGAUGAGAUUGAGCGGCUGCUUCCUUUCUUGAAACCCAUAAUAGAAAGAAAUUCUUUGAAGUCAGUUAUACAAGGUUUCUUGCCAGGGAUUGCACUAAAAGUCUUCCUUAUACUUCUCCCGAUGUUUCUAAUGACCAUGAGCAAGAUGGAAGGUCAUAUAUCAAUCUCUGGAUUGGACAGGAGGACCGCAUCAACAUACUUCAUGUUCCUUUUUGUCAAUGUAUUCUUGGGGAGUGUAAUAACUGGAACAGCAUUCCAACAGCUCGACACUUUUAUCCAUCAGCCAGCUAACAAAAUUCCAGAGACUGUUGGAGAAUCAAUUCCCAUGAAAGCAACAUUUUUCAUUACAUAUGUAAUGGUUGAUGGAUGGGCCGGUAUCGCUGCUGAAGUUCUAAGGUUGAAGCCGUUGGUCAUGUUCCACAUAAAGAACACUUUCCUGGUCAGAACUGAGCAGGAUCGUCAGCAGGCCAUGGAUCCUGGAAGCUUGGAUUUUGGCACCACUGAACCACGAAUACAACUCUACUUCCUGCUAGGACUAGUAUAUGCUGUUGUCACACCAAUUCUUCUUCCUUUCAUCAUCGUGUUCUUCAGCCUUGCCUAUCUUGUGUUCAGACACCAGAUCAUUAAUGUCUAUAACCAGCAAUACGAGAGUGGCGCACUAUUCUGGCCAGAUGUGCAAACACGACUUAUUGCCGCAUUAAUAGUAUCACAAAUCCUCCUACUGGGACUAUUGAGCACACAGGAAGCAGAGAAGUCUACUGUCGCUCUCCUUCCUCUUCCUGUCCUGACCAUAUGGUUCCACUAUGUUUGCAAGGGUCGGUUUGAACCAGCGUAUGUAAAGUUCCCCUUGCAGGAAGCCAUGGUGAAGGACACACUGCAACGAGCAAAUGACCCAACUAUGAGUUUGAGAGAAUACCUGAAGGAUGCAUAUGUGCACCCGGUCUUCCAGAAGGAUGACAUGUAUGAGCUUAUUGCCAUGGAUGAAGAAGAGAAGAAUCCCACCGUUGCGACCAAGCGUCAAUCGCGCAUGAACACACCAGUAGAAAGCAAGUUCAAUUCCAGUGUUGGCACUAGUGAAGGAGAGUUCAGUCGGAUGCAUCCUGCUUGA